ACAAUGACUCUCGGCAACGGAUAUCUUGGCUCUCGCAUCGAUGAAGAACGCAGCGAAAUGCGAUACGUGGUGUGAAUUGCAGAAUCCCGUGAAUCAUCAAGUUUUUGAACGCAAGUUGCGCCCGAGACAUUUACGUUUAGGGCACGCCUGCCUGGGUGUCACG
RNAcentral lists this ribosomal RNA (163 nucleotides) under Misodendrum linearifolium. RNAcentral describes it as "5.8S ribosomal RNA". It matches the Rfam family "5.8S ribosomal RNA". Rfam says of the family: 5.8S ribosomal RNA (5.8S rRNA) is a component of the large subunit of the eukaryotic ribosome. The record is from RNAcentral. Lineage: Eukaryota; Viridiplantae; Streptophyta; Magnoliopsida; Santalales; Misodendraceae.